This 77-nucleotide transfer RNA is filed under the name Sandaracinus sp. RNAcentral's name for it is "tRNA-Arg". It matches the Rfam family "tRNA". From Rfam's summary of the family: Transfer RNA (tRNA) molecules are approximately 80 nucleotides in length. Their secondary structure includes four short double-helical elements and three loops (D, anti-codon, and T loops). RNAcentral also lists the same sequence under 2 other names. The record is from RNAcentral. Lineage: Bacteria; Pseudomonadati; Myxococcota; Polyangiales; Sandaracinaceae.
GCCCUCGUAGCUCAGGUGGAUAGAGCAGCGGCUUCCUAAGCUGAAGGUCGUACGUUCGAGUCGUACCGGGGGCGCCA